UACGUAGGGGGCAAGCGUUACUCGGAUUCACUGGGCGUAAAGCGCGUGUAGGCGGCUGGUCAAGCGUGGUGUGAAAUCUCCGGGCUCAACCCGGAAACUGCACCGCGAACUGGCCUGGCUGGAGUGCAGGAGAGGGAAGGGGAAUUCCAGGUGUAGCGGUGAAAUGCGUAGAUAUCUGGAGGAAUACCGGUGGCGAAGGCGGCAUCCUGGACCGGCAUUGACGCUGAAGCGCGAAAGCUAGGGGAGCAAACGGG
Molecule: ribosomal RNA, 254 nt
Filed under: uncultured bacterium
Lineage: Bacteria
Description: partial 16S ribosomal RNA
Rfam family: Bacterial small subunit ribosomal RNA
Source: RNAcentral